AAAAUUCGAUCCACCUUCUCCGUUCUUCUCCAUUCUUCCAUCAUACCUUGCCCUCUCUCACUACCGUUGAAGGUCCGUUCUUCUGUUGUGCCUUGCUCUCGCCACCAUCUCCCUCACCGCCAUUCUUCCAUUUUCGCAUUAUGUGCAACGGAGGAACUCAAACAGAGGAAGGGAAGUUGAACAUUAUUUUAGCUAAUUUGAUCGUAGAGACAUAGGCAACAUGUAUAAAAAUGGUAGUUGGACAUUAUUACGAACCGCAUCCAAAGAAAUAUAAGCUUGCUUGAAACAGAAAGAACCAUAACUCACAUGGGGAUGGUCUACAAGGUUCAUAACUACUCCUCUUACUACAGGACGCUUACCUAGCCAACAUUUAGAUCCGACUCUACCCAAACUUUUCUGGUUUGCCCCAGCAUUCCCCACUUGUCCGACUGUUGCUGAGCAAUUUUUGGAUAUCAAACGUCUCUAGUGGUUCAGAAAAUUGAUUUCGAAGAGAGGAGCAGAAAAUGACAAAAUCGAUAACCGAAUAGGUAAGUCAUAGAAAGUUUUUUACUAACAUAUUAGGUAAUAUGCAUGUGAGAAACUUUCUAUGGCUUACCUGUUCAAUUUUCGAUUUUGUCAUUUUCUGUUCCUCUCUUUCAAAUCAAUUUUUCUGGAACCACUAGAGUAAGAGUUCUUUCUGUUUGAAGCAAUCCCGUGUUUCUCUCGACACAACUUGUAAUAAUGUUCGAUUUUCCUCUUUGCACAUCUUGUCCAUGUCCCUAUGAUCAUACUAGCUACAGUGAUGUUGAUGCAAUGUGCAGAAGUUGAGAAACUGGCGUCGACGCUUUGAAUUAUGUUUAAGUUAUCAUUUUUACUUUGUAUCAUUGAUGUAAUUUAUAUUUGAACUACUUAGAACGUGUACUUUUUUAAUAUUUUAAUUAAUAAUAAAUUUAACUUGGUAUUUUUGUAAUA
Molecule: long non-coding RNA, 951 nt
Organism: Cucumis melo (muskmelon)
Lineage: Eukaryota; Viridiplantae; Streptophyta; Magnoliopsida; Cucurbitales; Cucurbitaceae
Exons: 2
Source: RefSeq, a predicted model, not a curated record